UGGGGAAUUUUGGACAAUGGACGCAAGUCUGAUCCAGCCAUGCCGCGUGCGGGAAGAAGGCCUUCGGGUUGUAAACCGCUUUUGUCAGGGAAGAAAUCUUCUGAGUUAAUACCUCGGGAGGAUGACGGUACCUGAAGAAUAAGCACCGGCUAACUACGUGCCAGCAGCCGCGGUAAUACGUAGGGUGCAAGCGUUAAUCGGAAUUACUGGGCGUAAAGCGUGCGCAGGCGGUUAUGCAAGACAGGUGUGAAAUCCCCGAGCUCAACUUGGGAACUGCACUUGUGACUGCAUAGCUAGAGUACGGUAGAGGGGAGUGGAAUUCCGCGUGUAGCAGUGAAAUGCGUAGAUAUGCGGAGGAACACCGAUGGCGAAGGCAGCUCCCUGG
Molecule: ribosomal RNA, 385 nt
Filed under: uncultured bacterium
Lineage: Bacteria
Description: bacterial SSU rRNA
Rfam family: Bacterial small subunit ribosomal RNA
Source: RNAcentral